GGGGCUGUGGCCCAAUGGCAGAGCGUUCGCUUUUCAUGCAGAGGGUCCCAGGUUCAAGCCCCAACAGCUCCU
RNAcentral lists this transfer RNA (72 nucleotides) under Sphaerodactylus townsendi. RNAcentral's name for it is "tRNA-Glu". It matches the Rfam family "tRNA". From Rfam's summary of the family: Transfer RNA (tRNA) molecules are approximately 80 nucleotides in length. Their secondary structure includes four short double-helical elements and three loops (D, anti-codon, and T loops). The record is from RNAcentral. Lineage: Eukaryota; Metazoa; Chordata; Lepidosauria; Squamata; Sphaerodactylidae.